Molecule: ribosomal RNA, 1488 nt
Filed under: Salmonella enterica subsp. enterica serovar Uganda
Lineage: Bacteria; Pseudomonadati; Pseudomonadota; Gammaproteobacteria; Enterobacterales; Enterobacteriaceae
Description: partial 23S ribosomal RNA
Rfam family: Bacterial large subunit ribosomal RNA
Source: RNAcentral
AGACCCGAAACCCGGUGAUCUAGCCAUGGGCAGGUUGAAGGUUGGGUAACACUAACUGGAGGACCGAACCGACUAAUGUUGAAAAAUUAGCGGAUGACCUGUGGCUGGGGGUGAAAGGCCAAUCAAACCGGGAGAUAGCUGGUUCUCCCCGAAAGCUAUUUAGGUAGCGCCUCGUGAAUUCAUCUCCGGGGGUAGAGCACUGUUUCGGCUAGGGGGCCAUCCCGGCUUACCAACCCGAUGCAAACUGCGAAUACCGGAGAAUGUUAUCACGGGAGACACACGGCGGGUGCUAACGUCCGUCGUGAAGAGGGAAACAACCCAGACCGCCAGCUAAGGUCCCAAAGUCAUGGUUAAGUGGGAAACGAUGUGGGAAGGCCCAGACAGCCAGGAUGUUGGCUUAGAAGCAGCCAUCAUUUAAAGAAAGCGUAAUAGCUCACUGGUCGAGUCGGCCUGCGCGGAAGAUGUAACGGGGCUAAACCAUGCACCGAAGCUGCGGCAGCGACACUCAGGUGUUGUUGGGUAGGGGAGCGUUCUGUAAGCCUGUGAAGGUGUGUCGUGAGGCAUGCUGGAGGUAUCAGAAGUGCGAAUGCUGACAUAAGUAACGAUAAAGCGGGUGAAAAGCCCGCUCGCCGGAAGACCAAGGGUUCCUGUCCAACGUUAAUCGGGGCAGGGUGAGUCGACCCCUAAGGCGAGGCCGAAAGGCGUAGUCGAUGGGAAACAGGUUAAUAUUCCUGUACUUGGUGUUACUGCGAAGGGGGGACGGAGAAGGCUAUGUUGGCCGGGCGACGGUUGUCCCGGUUUAAGCGUGUAGGUGUGUGUUCCAGGUAAAUCCGGUUCACUUUAACACUGAGGCGUGACGACGAGGCACUACGGUGCUGAAGCAACAAAUGCCCUGCUUCCAGGAAAAGCCUCUAAGCAUCAGGUAACAUCAAAUCGUACCCCAAACCGACACAGGUGGUCAGGUAGAGAAUACCAAGGCGCUUGAGAGAACUCGGGUGAAGGAACUAGGCAAAAUGGUGCCGUAACUUCGGGAGAAGGCACGCUGACACGUAGGUGAAGUGAUUUACUCAUGGAGCUGAAGUCAGUCGAAGAUACCAGCUGGCUGCAACUGUUUAUUAAAAACACAGCACUGUGCAAACACGAAAGUGGACGUAUACGGUGUGACGCCUGCCCGGUGCCGGAAGGUUAAUUGAUGGGGUCAGCGCAAGCGAAGCUCCUGAUCGAAGCCCCGGUAAACGGCGGCCGUAACUAUAACGGUCCUAAGGUAGCGAAAUUCCUUGUCGGGUAAGUUCCGACCUGCACGAAUGGCGUAAUGAUGGCCAGGCUGUCUCCACCCGAGACUCAGUGAAAUUGAACUCGCUGUGAAGAUGCAGUGUACCCGCGGCAAGACGGAAAGACCCCGUGAACCUUUACUAUAGCUUGACACUGAACAUUGAGCCUUGAUGUGUAGGAUAGGUGGGAGGCUUUGAAGCGUGGACGCCAGUCUGC